AGCCCCGUACACAAAAAUGCACAUGCUGUGAGCUCGAUGAGUAGGGCGGGACACGUGGUAUCCUGUCUGAAUAUGGGGGGACCAUCCUCCAAGGCUAAAUACUCCUGACUGACCGAUAGUGAACCAGUACCGUGAGGGAAAGGCGAAAAGAACCCCGGCGAGGGGAGUGAAAAAGAACCUGAAACCGUGUACGUACAAGCAGUGGGAGCACGCUUAGGCGUGUGACUGCGUACCUUUUGUAUAAUGGGUCAGCGACUUAUAUUCUGUAGCAAGGUUAACCGAAUAGGGGAGCCGAAGGGAAACCGAGUCUUAACUGGGCGUUAAGUUGCAGGGUAUAGACCCGAAACCCGGUGAUCUAGCCAUGGGCAGGUUGAAGGUUGGGUAACACUAACUGGAGGACCGAACCGACUAAUGUUGAAAAAUUAGCGGAUGACUUGUGGCUGGGGGUGAAAGGCCAAUCAAACCGGGAGAUAGCUGGUUCUCCCCGAAAGCUAUUUAGGUAGCGCCUCGUGAAUUCAUCUCCGGGGGUAGAGCACUGUUUCGGCAAGGGGGUCAUCCCGACUUACCAACCCGAUGCAAACUGCGAAUACCGGAGAAUGUUAUCACGGGAGACACACGGCGGGUGCUAACGUCCGUCGUGAAGAGGGAAACAACCCAGACCGCCAGCUAAGGUCCCAAAGUCAUGGUUAAGUGGGAAACGAUGUGGGAAGGCCCAGACAGCCAGGAUGUUGGCUUAGAAGCAGCCAUCAUUUAAAGAAAGCGUAAUAGCUCACUGGUCGAGUCGGCCUGCGCGGAAGAUGUAACGGGGCUAAACCAUGCACCGAAGCUGCGGCAGCGACGCUGAUGCGUUGUUGGGUAGGGGAGCGUUCUGUAAGCCUGCGAAGGUGUGCUGUGAGGCAUGCUGGAGGUAUCAGAAGUGCGAAUGCUGACAUAAGUAACGAUAAAGCGGGUGAAAAGCCCGCUCGCCGGAAGACCAAGGGUUCCUGUCCAACGUUAAUCGGGGCAGGGUGAGUCGACCCCUAAGGCGAGGCCGAAAGGCGUAGUCGAUGGGAAACAGGUUAAUAUUCCUGUACUUGGUGUUACUGCGAAGGGGGGACGGAGAAGGCUAUGUUGGCCGGGCGACGGUUGUCCCGGUUUAAGCGUGUAGGCUGGUUUUCCAGGCAAAUCCGGAAAAUCAAGGCUGAGGCGUGAUGACGAGGCACU
RNAcentral lists this ribosomal RNA (1203 nucleotides) under Escherichia coli. RNAcentral describes it as "partial 23S ribosomal RNA". It matches the Rfam family "Bacterial large subunit ribosomal RNA", at positions 369 to 1578 of the family's 2925-position model. The record is from RNAcentral. Lineage: Bacteria; Pseudomonadati; Pseudomonadota; Gammaproteobacteria; Enterobacterales; Enterobacteriaceae.